GGAGAGAUGGUUGAGUGGUCGAAGGCGCCGCAUUGGAAAUGCGGUGUACCGAAAGGUACCGAGGGUUCGAAUCCCUCUCUCUCCGCCA
This 88-nucleotide transfer RNA is filed under the name Lentisphaerota bacterium. Its description in RNAcentral is "Lentisphaerae bacterium tRNA-Ser". It matches the Rfam family "tRNA". Rfam says of the family: Transfer RNA (tRNA) molecules are approximately 80 nucleotides in length. Their secondary structure includes four short double-helical elements and three loops (D, anti-codon, and T loops). The record is from RNAcentral. RNAcentral also lists the same sequence under 2 other names. Lineage: Bacteria; Pseudomonadati; Lentisphaerota.